ACGAACGCUGGCGGCGUGCUUAACACAUGCAAGUCGAACGGAAGGGCCCUGCUUUUGUGGGGUGCUCGAGUGGCGAACGGGUGAGUAACACGUGAGUAACCUGCCCUUGACUUUGGGAUAACUUCAGGAAACUGGGGCUAAUACCGGAUAGGAGCUCCUGCUGCAUGGUGGGGGUUGGAAAGUUUCGGCGGUUGGGGAUGGACUCGCGGCUUAUCAGCUUGUUGGUGGGGUAGUGGCUUACCAAGGCUUUGACGGGUAGCCGGCCUGCGAGGGUGACCGGCCACAUUGGGACUGAGAUACGGCCCAGACUCCUACGGGAGGCAGCAGUGGGGAAUAUUGCACAAUGGGCGGAAGCCUGAUGCAGCAACGCCGCGUGCGGGAUGACGGCCUUCGGGUUGUAAACCGCUUUCGCCUGUGACGAAGCGUGAGUGACGGUAAUGGGUAAAGAAGCACCGGCUAACUACGUG
RNAcentral lists this ribosomal RNA (467 nucleotides) under uncultured bacterium. RNAcentral's name for it is "partial 16S ribosomal RNA". It matches the Rfam family "Bacterial small subunit ribosomal RNA", at positions 29 to 507 of the family's 1533-position model. The record is from RNAcentral.